RNAcentral lists this ribosomal RNA (498 nucleotides) under uncultured bacterium. RNAcentral's name for it is "partial 16S ribosomal RNA". It matches the Rfam family "Bacterial small subunit ribosomal RNA", at positions 899 to 1397 of the family's 1533-position model. The record is from RNAcentral.
ACUCAAAUGAAUUGACGGGGGCCCGCACAAGCAGUGGAGCAUGUGGUUUAAUUCGAAGCAACGCGAAGAACCUUACCAGGGCUUGACAUCCCGCUGACCGGUGCAGAGAUGUGCCUUCCCUUCGGGGCAGCGGAGACAGGUGGUGCAUGGUUGUCGUCAGCUCGUGUCGUGAGAUGUUGGGUUAAGUCCCGCAACGAGCGCAACCCUUGACCUGUGUUACCAGCGCGUGAAGGCGGGGACUCACAGGUGACUGCCGGCGUAAGUCGGAGGAAGGCGGGGAUGACGUCAAAUCAUCAUGCCCUUUAUGUCCUGGGCUACACACGUGCUACAAUGGGCGGUACAACGGGAAGCGAGACCGCGAGGUGGAGCAAAACCCUGAAAGCCGCUCGUAGUUCGGAUUGCAGGCUGCAACUCGCCUGCAUGAAGCCGGAAUUGCUAGUAAUCGCGGAUCAGCAUGCCGCGGUGAAUCCGUUCCCGGGCCUUGUACACACCGCCCGU